Molecule: ribosomal RNA, 485 nt
Filed under: uncultured bacterium
Lineage: Bacteria
Description: partial 16S ribosomal RNA
Rfam family: Bacterial small subunit ribosomal RNA
Source: RNAcentral
GAUGAACGCUGGCGGCGUGCUUAACACAUGCAAGUCGAACGGGAUCCAAGGGGUGCUUGCACUUUUUGGUGAGAGUGGCGAACGGGUGAGUAACACGUGAGUAACCUGUCCUUUUCUUUGGGAUAAGCAUUCGAAAGGGUGUUUAAUACCUUAUGUUCUGUCUGCCUCGCAUGGGGUGGGUGGGAAAGGCUUUGGCCGGACUUGGGUGGGCUCGCGGUCUAUCAGCUUGUUGGUGGGGUGAUGGCUUACCAAGGCUUUGACGGGUAGCCGGCCUGAGAGGGUGGUCGAUCUCAUUGGGGCUGAGAUCCGGCCCAGACUCCUGCGGGAGGCAGCAGUGGGGGAUAUUGCACAAUGGGCGGAAGCCUGAUGCAGCGACGCCGCGUGGGGUAUGAAGGCCUUCGGGUUGUAAACUUCUUUUGCUCUGAACGAGGCAUGCCAGUGGGUGUGUUGAGUGUAGGGGUUGAUUAGCGCCGGCUAACUACGUG